UUCUUAUCCAGAGAGGUGGAGGGACUGGCCCUGUGAAGCCUCGGCAACAGACUCCCUGUUAGUACUGUGCCAAUUCCAGUAAGCGUCAUGCUUUAAGAUAAGAA
This 104-nucleotide non-coding RNA is filed under the name Lentibacillus amyloliquefaciens. Its description in RNAcentral is "SAM-I sequence". It matches the Rfam family "SAM riboswitch aptamer (S box leader)". From Rfam's summary of the family: The SAM riboswitch is found upstream of a number of genes which code for proteins involved in methionine or cysteine biosynthesis in Gram-positive bacteria. The SAM riboswitch acts at the level of transcription termination control. The record is from Rfam by way of RNAcentral. Lineage: Bacteria; Bacillati; Bacillota; Bacilli; Caryophanales; Bacillaceae.